UCCCUCUUAGCUCAGUUGGUAGAGCAAUUGACUGUUAAUCAAUUUGUCGCUGGUUCGAGCCCAGCAGAGGGAGCCA
This 76-nucleotide transfer RNA is filed under the name bacterium. RNAcentral's name for it is "tRNA-Asn". It matches the Rfam family "tRNA". Rfam says of the family: Transfer RNA (tRNA) molecules are approximately 80 nucleotides in length. Their secondary structure includes four short double-helical elements and three loops (D, anti-codon, and T loops). The record is from RNAcentral.